UGUGUUGUGGCUCAGUGGUAGAGCACUAGCAUGUGUGAAGCACUGGGUUCAAUUCUCAGCACCACAU
This 67-nucleotide transfer RNA is filed under the name Ictidomys tridecemlineatus (thirteen-lined ground squirrel). RNAcentral describes it as "Spermophilus tridecemlineatus (thirteen-lined ground squirrel) tRNA". It matches the Rfam family "tRNA". Rfam says of the family: Transfer RNA (tRNA) molecules are approximately 80 nucleotides in length. Their secondary structure includes four short double-helical elements and three loops (D, anti-codon, and T loops). Lineage: Eukaryota; Metazoa; Chordata; Mammalia; Rodentia; Sciuridae. The record is from Rfam by way of RNAcentral.